This is a long non-coding RNA of Salvelinus fontinalis (brook trout), 316 nucleotides long. RefSeq lists it as uncharacterized. Lineage: Eukaryota; Metazoa; Chordata; Actinopteri; Salmoniformes; Salmonidae. The transcript is spliced from 3 exons. The record is from RefSeq and is a predicted model, not a curated record.
CUAUUAUCAACAGUCCCCAGGUUACAGUCCAGAGUGUCUGUCUCUAUUAUCAACAGUCCCCAGGUUACAGUCCAGAGAGGCCGUCUCUAUUAUCAACAGUCCCCAGGUUACAGUCCAGAGUGGCCUUCUCUAUUAUCAACAGUCCCCAGGUUACAGUCCAGAGUGUCUGUCUCUAUUAUCAACAGUCCCCAGGUUACAGUCCAGAGUGUCCGUCUCUAUUAUCAACAGUCCCCAGGUUACAGUCCAUAGAGGCCGUCUCUAUUAUCAACAGUCCCCUGGUUACAGUCCAGAGUGUCCGUCUCUAUUAUCAACAGUC